AACAGAAAGCUGAGAAUUUGCAAGAAUUAUAGAUAGGAUGGCUAAAAAAGUAAACUAUUACACGAUUACACACAAUGGCAUUUCCUUAUCAACCACAUACUGACACUUCCCAUCGCGUGAACCCUUACCAGACUACACUUGUUUAAAGGAAGAAAUGAGCAAAGGAUCCACCAUGGAUCGGCAUGAAUGGAUGUUCCCUUUCUCAGUGGUCUAAGGAAAAAUGACUGAAUGCAGGUUUGCAGAAAUAACAGCAGAUCAAAAUCUGGUGUGGCACGAUGACAAGUAAAGGUAAAAGCAAAGAAGUCAAGCACCGUCAUAAUCCGUCAAGUGCAACACAACAAUGAAAAAUGCAGACUGUGUUCUUUAAAGCAAAAACACUGAUUUAUUUCUCGUCCAAUCUUCAGCGAAUUUGGUAUAGAUAUGUGUUCAACAAACCCUGUUGGCUUAAUAAGUGAAGAAGUUAUGUAUUUUAUGACAAUAAUAGUUUAGUCAAUAAGCGAAGCGAACAUUUGCAGCGCUGUUCUACAACAGUACAAAAAGACCAUGCCAGGACGUGUUACUGGCUGUAUCAGCACAAGAAGUGGCAUAAACAUUAUUGCU
This is a long non-coding RNA of Mercenaria mercenaria, 600 nucleotides long. RefSeq lists it as uncharacterized. The transcript has 3 exons. NCBI's taxonomy places the organism in Eukaryota, Metazoa, Mollusca, Bivalvia, Venerida, Veneridae. The record is from RefSeq and is a predicted model, not a curated record.